GCUUUGUUGUUUUGUCUGUAGCUGCCCCCUGGGCUCAUAAGAGAGAUAAAGAAUCACCUUAAAAAUCUCUACCUUAAAUACGGAGAAAACUUUUACCAAGCCAUGAGUCUGCCUUUGCUUUCUCCUGAUCAACAGAAGUUACAGCCACUAGUACAUUUCACAGUGGCAUGCUGCAAAAUUUAUUGUUUGUUGCUUCUUCAGAACCCACCCAUUAAAGCUGUGUGGCCCACAGAGCAAGGAAUCCCCACAUACUACAUACAGCAUGUGGACAAUAAAGAUGUGGAGGACAAGAUGCCAUUGAACUUUCUAUGGCCAGUGCUCGCAUGUGGGAGGCAAGUACUUAGGAAAGGUGUAAUCUAUGGCUGAAUGGAAUGACUGGUUGAGUCAAAUUAUACCCCUGUGUUAUAAAAUAGUAAAAAAAAUAGUGAAUA
Molecule: non-coding RNA, 431 nt
Organism: Pelodiscus sinensis (Chinese soft-shelled turtle)
Lineage: Eukaryota; Metazoa; Chordata; Testudines; Trionychidae
Source: RefSeq, a predicted model, not a curated record